AGAGUUUGAUCCUGGCUCAGGAUGAACGCUGGCGGCGUGCUUAACACAUGCAAGUCGAACGAAGCUUCCGGAACAAUCUUUCGGAGAGAGGGAAGGAAAGACUAGUGGCGGACGGGUGAGUAACGCGUGGGGAAUCUGCCCGUACCGGGGGAUAACACUUAGAAAUAGGUGCUAAUACCGCAUAAGCGCACGGUGUCGCAUGACACAGUGUGAAAAAACUCCGGUGGUACGGGAUGACCCCGCGUCUGAUUAGCCAGUUGGCAGGGUAACGGCCUACCAAAGCGACGAUCAGUAGCCGGCCUGAGAGGGUGAACGGCCACAUUGGGACUGAGACACGGCCCAAACUCCUACGGGAGGCAGCAGGUGGGGAAUAUUGCACAAUGGGGGAAACCCUGAUGCAGCGACGCCCGCGUGAGUGAAGAAGUAUCUCGGUAUGUAAAGCUCUAUCAGCAGGGAAGAUAAUGACGGUACCUGACUAAGAAGCCCCGGCUAACUACGUGCCAGCAGCAGC
This 511-nucleotide ribosomal RNA is filed under the name uncultured bacterium. RNAcentral describes it as "bacterial SSU rRNA". It matches the Rfam family "Bacterial small subunit ribosomal RNA", at positions 8 to 518 of the family's 1533-position model. The record is from RNAcentral.